GGGUUGUGAGGUUAAGCGACUAAGCGUACACGGUGGAUGCCCUGGCAGUCAGAGGCGAUGAAGGGCGUGCUAAUCUGCGAUAAGCGCCGGUAAGGUGAUAUGAACCGUUAUAACCGGCGAUACCCGAAUGGGGAAACCCAGUGUGAUUCGUCACACUAUCAUUAACUGAAUCCAUAGGUUAAUGAGGCGAACCGGGGGAACUGAAACAUCUAAGUACCCCGAGGAAAAGAAAUCAACCGAGAUUCCCCCAGUAGCGGCGAGCGAACGGGGAGGAGCCCAGAGCCUGAAUCAGCAUGUGUGUUAGUGGAAGCGUCUGGAAAGGCGCGCGAUACAGGGUGACAGCCCCGUACACAAAAGCGCAUAUGCUGUGAGCUCGAUGAGUAGGGCGGGACACGUGGUAUCCUGUCUGAAUAUGGGGGGACCAUCCUCCAAGGCUAAAUACUCCUGACUGACCGAUAGUGAACCAGUACCGUGAGGGAAAGGCGAAAAGAACCCCGGCGAGGGGAGUGAAAAAGAACCUGAAACCGUGUACGUACAAGCAGU
RNAcentral lists this ribosomal RNA (543 nucleotides) under Salmonella enterica. Its description in RNAcentral is "partial 23S ribosomal RNA". It matches the Rfam family "Bacterial large subunit ribosomal RNA", at positions 1 to 574 of the family's 2925-position model. The record is from RNAcentral. Lineage: Bacteria; Pseudomonadati; Pseudomonadota; Gammaproteobacteria; Enterobacterales; Enterobacteriaceae.